Molecule: ribosomal RNA, 253 nt
Filed under: uncultured bacterium
Lineage: Bacteria
Description: partial 16S ribosomal RNA
Rfam family: Bacterial small subunit ribosomal RNA
Source: RNAcentral
UACGUAGGGUGCAAGCGUUGUCCGGAAUUAUUGGGCGUAAAGAGCUCGUAGGCGGUUUGUCACGUCGGCUGUGAAAACCCGAGGCUCAACCUCGGGCCUGCAGUCGAUACGGGCAGACUAGAGUAUGGCAGGGGAGACUGGAAUUCCUGGUGUAGCGGUGAAAUGCGCAGAUAUCGGGAGGAACACCCGUAGCGAAGGCGGCACUCUGGGCCGGUACUGACGCUGAGGAGCGAAAGCGUGGGGAGCAAACAGG